Molecule: transfer RNA, 87 nt
Filed under: Pelodictyon luteolum DSM 273
Lineage: Bacteria; Pseudomonadati; Chlorobiota; Chlorobiia; Chlorobiales; Chlorobiaceae
Also listed under: 1 other name
Description: Chlorobium luteolum DSM 273 tRNA
Rfam family: tRNA
About the family: Transfer RNA (tRNA) molecules are approximately 80 nucleotides in length. Their secondary structure includes four short double-helical elements and three loops (D, anti-codon, and T loops). Further hydrogen bonds mediate the characteristic L-shaped molecular structure. tRNAs have two regions of fundamental functional importance: the anti-codon, which is responsible for specific mRNA codon recognition, and the 3' end, to which the tRNAs corresponding amino acid is attached (by aminoacyl-tRNA synthetases). tRNAs cope with the degeneracy of the genetic code in two manners: having more than one tRNA (with a specific anti-codon) for a particular amino acid; and 'wobble' base-pairing, i.e. permitting non-standard base-pairing at the 3rd anti-codon position.
Source: Rfam by way of RNAcentral
GGAGAGGUGGCAGAGUGGUUGAAUGUGGCGGUCUCGAAAACCGUUGUGCGCGCAAGUGUACCGAGGGUUCGAAUCCCUCCCUCUCCG